GUUAGAAGCCACCGCUCCUCAGCACGAAGUGUUGCUUGGCCAACACAGUCUUAGGAAAUAGUGAGCUGGUUACCGGUGGUAGCAGAGACCACAAGUGGUUGCCCCCAGGCCCAUCCUUCCCUUCUUCAUUUAGUAAACACAAAAUCCCAGCUUUUGCCAGCACUCUUUUCACCUCCCUUGCAGCUCCAGGUGAUGAAAUGAGUCAAUUCUUGCUGAGAACAUGUAAGCAGAAUCAAAGUGCUAGGCCGACUCCUUAAAGGAAACGCUUUGUCUUUUUUCCCUUUCCUGCCAGUCAGAAUAUGGGUCCAACAGAGGUGGUGGUGAGUUAUUUGUGAAUAUGCAGACCAGGGCGACCCCCGAGGGGACGAAGGGAUCACUAAGAGAAGCAGCCUUGGUCCCUCCAGAGCAUCCCUCGACUACUCACGCUGGAACCGUCGUGUAAGAGGGAACUGAAUGAACUUUUUGUGUGUAAGCCACUGAAUUUUGGGGAAGGGAGAUGUGCAAAAACCAGUCAUUGUUUUUAUAGAUGACUCUGAUUCUAGUGUUUACUGCACUAAUGUAUUUAUCUACUUCUUUGUUCCCUUCUCUAGAAUAUUUCUUUCUUUCCGAGCUGCUAGCGUAGAGGAGGCAGUCCAUGAGUGUUUGUCAAAGCUGAAAAACCAUCAUGGUGUUACACAAUUUGUACUGUUAUGUCCCAUCUCCCACUUCCAAACGCAAGUCAGAUUCAAGCUGGCUCCAACAGGGACCCGCCAUCAGUCUAGGUGCUUUCCCUAAGUCGUGCCUAACUACCUCCAGGUCUCCCGGCUCUAAGGUGAAGGCAGCUUCUCAUGUACAGUCAACACUAGUGAACAAACACUGGGGAGAGAAAAAAAGAGAGGCAGAAACGUGGAAAUGAAUUAACACCACCAACUAUGGUGGGAGGACUUCAGUCUAAAGCAGAAAGGAGGAUAUGAAAUGGAGAAUCUCAUUCAAGUGCCUCCGAAGAACGGAACUUAAGAACAGAGAGCCUAAUUUCCUGGAAAUGCAAGACACAGCUUUACCUUCUGACCAGGGAACAUCUGCCAGGAGUCUCUCCUCAUCCUCAAGCCAAUGACCUUACUUUUUGAACCCUGGCUGGAUGACCCCAUCUUUGGACUCCUUGCCCAUACAUACAGGUCAUCCCAAAGCCCUCAUCAGAAUCCCCGGGACUUGCAAUAGCAUGUGUUUUCCAAAUUGCAAUUUCUCUGGUUUCUGGUAAUUCAAGCUUGCCUCAGUUUACCUUUUUAUUUAGACUGACACUAAUAAUGUAACUUUGGUCAGGUUAUUUAGUAUCUCUAGGCUACAGUUACCUAAUUUAUAAAAUGAGAAUAACAAUACUACCAAUGUUAGAGAUUGCUGGGAGGAUUAAAUGAGUUAAUACUACUAUCAUCUAAAUAUUGAGAAGUGCUUCAGGAAUAAUUAGCAAAUAGUAAGCAAUCUAAAUAGAUAACUUUUACCCUUUAUCAGUAGAUAUUUUUAAUGGAGCAAUAAAAAGUGAGGGGAGUUGAGAAGUAUGUUCCA
RNAcentral lists this long non-coding RNA (1539 nucleotides) under Vulpes vulpes (red fox). Its description in RNAcentral is "lncRNA (ENSVVUG00000015750.1)". The record is from RNAcentral. Lineage: Eukaryota; Metazoa; Chordata; Mammalia; Carnivora; Canidae.